GUUUCCGUAGUGUAGUGGUUAACGCGUGCGCUUUACACGCGCAAAGUCCGCAGUUCAAACCUGGGCGGAAACA
Molecule: transfer RNA, 73 nt
Filed under: Dendronephthya gigantea
Lineage: Eukaryota; Metazoa; Cnidaria; Anthozoa; Malacalcyonacea; Nephtheidae
Description: tRNA-Val
Rfam family: tRNA
About the family: Transfer RNA (tRNA) molecules are approximately 80 nucleotides in length. Their secondary structure includes four short double-helical elements and three loops (D, anti-codon, and T loops).
Source: RNAcentral